Molecule: non-coding RNA, 144 nt
Organism: Arachis ipaensis
Lineage: Eukaryota; Viridiplantae; Streptophyta; Magnoliopsida; Fabales; Fabaceae
Source: RefSeq, a predicted model, not a curated record
CUGAUUUUAGAUAUCUCCAAAGAGAAGGCUCAUUUGGCUGCUGUUCAGGUUAAUGGACCUGUGUUGGUUGAAGACACUUGCCUUUGUUUCAAUGCCUUGAAAGGUCUUCCAGGUUGGGCCUUACAUGUAAGUUCUAUUUCACAU